RNAcentral lists this long non-coding RNA (1484 nucleotides) under Helianthus annuus (common sunflower). RNAcentral's name for it is "hypothetical non coding rna". Lineage: Eukaryota; Viridiplantae; Streptophyta; Magnoliopsida; Asterales; Asteraceae. The record is from RNAcentral.
AUGGGUUUUAAGGUUGUUAAAUGUUUUGAACUAGUUGAUGCCCGCUCGCGUUGCGGGGCGAUGGCCGAAUAGCUUUCAAUCAACUAAAAAAACACUACUAUAAUUUUGCUAGGAAAAAACUAAAACGAUGACAAGACUGUAAUUUUGGGCUCUGAGCAAAAUUGUAAUUUUUCAGGACUAAUGAGCGAGUGUUAGACAGCUCCUAUCAUUAUUAUAAGGAAAAAAAUCUAAUGACAAAACUGUAAAUUUAAACUGGGCAAAAUCAUAAUGUUGAACCGAGGAAAAAUUGAAAAUUUUUAGCUGAGAGCAAAAUCGUAAAUUUAUUUUUAAGUGAGGGUAAAAGCAUAAUUUUGAACUGAUGGUAAAAUCGUAAUUUUAAAACGGGAUAAAAUCGUAAAUUUGUUGGGCCAAUAGGGGAGUGGCAUGCAUGACUAUAAGUAUAAACGGGAAAAAAUCGUAAUUUAGAAAAAAAAAAAAUCAAGUUGUGGUGGCAGGUGGCCGCCCAACUACACCAAUGGAAUCGAAGUACUAUUGCCCGAACUUUAUUUUGUUAUAGUAGAUAAAGAUAAUACCCUAUUUUCUAAUUUUUUAUUGAUAUAAAACAAAAAUAUUUUUUCUUUUUUUGGAAAUUAUGAAUUGCAGGGGCAAGUGUGUUAAAAAAUUAUGAAUCCCAGAUUUACGUAAAUGUAAAACGGUGUUUAAAACGUUUCUAAAAUGUAAAUGUUCAGAUUUACAUUUGCAUACAAAUUAGGUUUUUAGAAAAAAAAAUUGGAUGUAAAAACAUGGCAUUUUGUACCGAUUUUUUGUAGAUGUAAAAAAUUGAAAUUUCAAGCAUUGUUUUCAACUCGUUUUGUGAGUUUUGUCUAAGGCGCUUCGGGGCGUCUUCGGUAAACCGAAGCGGGGUGGAGAGAAGGAAGGCGGUAAGACACCGCCAACCCUUCGGUAAAUGAAAUCGGGGAGGAGAGAAGGAGGGAAGCCGGUGGCGGCUCACCGAAGAGAGAGGGAGGAGAGAGAGAGGGAGUGACCAAUCACAGUUUUUCUUUUUUUUCUUUUUUUUUUUUUAAAAAAAAAAACCCAAUUCACCUAAGAGGGGAGUGGCGCCAUCAAAUUGGGGUGUUAGGGGAGUUUAAGAGGGGAGUUGACGUGGCACACGGGGAUUGGUUUGGCGUAAGAGAGGGGACUCACCUAUUAGGUGAGCACCCCCUUCACCCUAAGUUUUACAUUUGGUGUAAACUAAAACGUUUCUUUAAAGUAAAUGUUUAGAUUUACAGUUGUGUAAAAAUUAGGUUUUUAGAAAAAACAAAAUUGGAUGUAAAAGUAUUUUGGGGUGUUUGGAUCCAUAUUUUUGUGGAUGUAAAAAAUAAAAAUGCCGGACAUUGUUUUUAAUUCGUUUAGCGAUUUUUGUCUAAGUUUUAUGUUUGGUGUAAAUUUAAAGGUUUCUUAAAGGGAAAUGUUCAGAUUUAUACUUGUGUAUAAAUUAGUUU